Molecule: small RNA, 575 nt
Filed under: Pongo abelii (Sumatran orangutan)
Lineage: Eukaryota; Metazoa; Chordata; Mammalia; Primates; Hominidae
Description: processed transcript
Source: RNAcentral
GACUCCAUAGGCCUCAGUUUCUCCUCUGGUAACGUGAGCUUCGCUUCCAGAGACGGGGGCCCGCCUCGCCGGGCUAGGCGCACCUCCUGGGGCGGGACUGGCUCCAACGUGGGCCCCUUGCUGCGGCUUUCUCUGCGGCCGAGGCCAGGCCGUUCCCUGGGUGGCCAGGAGAAAACCGUAAACUCUUCAGCCUGCUCCGUGGCUGCGAUCUUGGAAAAAGCACCAAUUCUGUGAUGUGCAGCAGCAUUUACUGGGCAUCUAUGACCCUGUGAUAGGCUUUGGGCUCUUUUUCUGUAAGGAGUCCAGUAAAGGAGAAGUACAUCUGCAUUAUGAACACCUAAAUAUGGCCCAGGAGCUUUUUUCCUGUUGGAAUUGGGGAGCUUCUGCAGUCAUUUACCACAUGCCAGCUUUGUGACUCAAUUAAGUAUCUUAUACAAAAGUGACUGGCUCCACUCCCCAACACAGGACUCAACAGAUGUUGACUUCUCAUCCCCGAGUUCUUUCGGGCCAAAAAGCAAAUGGAUUUCCACCUGACAAAUCCUCGGGAUCCAAGAAGCAGAAACAGUAUCAGCGGA